GUUUGGGAUGAUUUCUCUGUGUGCACUGUGCAUAUAAAAGCAGCUACAGCCGAGCUCACCCUUCAGAUCUGAUCAGAGGCAAACUGAGCGGGAGGUGAACGUUGUUGCUGGUGUAUCACAGACUCCUUCUGCACUUCAACUCCAUCAGCAGUUUGACUGUCCAACACACUGACUGAUAUUUGGAGAAAGUGAUUUGAAUCCAAAGCAGUAAAUCGCUGCAGCUCUUCAGUUCAGAACCAGAGGACUGGACUGAGCCCCGCCAACAGAGCUUCGUUGGACACAGUCUGGUCUCUCCAUCAUCCACCAAGUCUAUCAACGUACUCAAGGGAAAUUCUAGACUGAAAAAAAGAUGGAAGGAGGAGUUUUGCAAAAACAUUGGACAUCAAAGAGGUUUCUACAGGAAUGAAUGGACUUCUGAUUGAUUUGUAAACAAAU
This is a long non-coding RNA of Acanthochromis polyacanthus (spiny chromis), 435 nucleotides long. RefSeq lists it as uncharacterized. The record is from RefSeq and is a predicted model, not a curated record. The transcript is spliced from 4 exons. Lineage: Eukaryota; Metazoa; Chordata; Actinopteri; Pomacentridae.